Photinus pyralis (common eastern firefly) is the source of this 562-nucleotide long non-coding RNA. RefSeq lists it as uncharacterized. The transcript has 3 exons. The record is from RefSeq and is a predicted model, not a curated record. Lineage: Eukaryota; Metazoa; Arthropoda; Insecta; Coleoptera; Lampyridae.
AUUUUUAAAUUCGCCGCACAUUAUUCACCGAGGAGGUUCAAAUAAAGUAUGCAGUAGGUACUUGUUUUUAAUGUACAGUGUGGACACCUAACGAUGAGUUUUUGAAGUAUUGCGGUGGGCUUUGCUUUGUUGACGAAGCAUCGUUUAGGUUAGAAAUUUUGUGUUAAAAAUUAUUCUUCUGUUAUUAGUGCUAAUUAAUAGACCUAUUCGUUUGUAUGAGACAACGGAACUAUUCUAACAAGAACAAUUCAACGUUAAAUUAGUAAAAUGCCCACUCAGUUAGCGCACGAUAACAAUAUUCACGAAAUACGUGCCAAAAUCGCAUAUAAUGGCGAAGUACUCAUUACGUAUAUUAAUCAGAAUAUUUCUUUGGAGGAGCUUUGUAACGAAAUGCGCGAAAUUUGUCGUUUUACUCACGAUCAAGCAUUUACGAUGAAAUGGGUAGAUGAAGAAGGGGACCCUUGUACCAUUUCGUCUCAACUGGAGCUAGAUGAAGCCAUUAGGCUUUAUGAAGUUAAUCGAGACUCUGAGCUAACUGUUCAUGGUACUAAAUUAAUAGCUU